This 88-nucleotide small RNA is filed under the name Escherichia coli. Its description in RNAcentral is "partial RtT sRNA". It matches the Rfam family "RtT RNA", at positions 45 to 130 of the family's 130-position model. Rfam says of the family: This family represents a bacterial cis-regulatory element known as RtT RNA. The exact function of RtT is unknown although it is thought that it may be involved in changing the cellular response in relation to amino acid starvation. RNAcentral also lists the same sequence under 5 other names. Lineage: Bacteria; Pseudomonadati; Pseudomonadota; Gammaproteobacteria; Enterobacterales; Enterobacteriaceae. The record is from RNAcentral.
GACUCGAGCGCCAGCGAGAGAGCGUUGCCGCAGGCAACGACCCGAAGGGCGAAGCGCGCAGCGCUGAGUAAUCCUUCCCCCACCACCA